UGGCGGCGGGUGAGUAAUGUCUGGGAAACUGCCUGAUGGAGGGGGAUAACUACUGGAAACGGUAGCUAAUACCGCAUAACGUCGCAAGACCAAAGAGGGGGACCUUCGGGCCUCUUGCCAUCGGAUGUGCCCAGAUGGGAUUAGCUAGUAGGUGGGGUAACGGCUCACCUAGGCGACGAUCCCUAGCUGGUCUGAGAGGAUGACCAGCCACACUGGAACUGAGACACGGUCCAG
Molecule: ribosomal RNA, 234 nt
Filed under: uncultured bacterium
Lineage: Bacteria
Description: partial 16S ribosomal RNA
Rfam family: Bacterial small subunit ribosomal RNA
Source: RNAcentral